CCCUCUGCUGCGGCAUCUACAAACAUCCUCGUUUCCCGGUGGAGGCUGCUGGCCGGGCAGGCCUGGGCACCCGGGUCCUGUUUCCCACCGCGUGCCGGCGCCAGGCGCUGGUCCCCGGGGAGUUCUGUCCCCUUGUUUGUUCCAGGCGCUAAACUGGAGCUACUUUCUGUGAAUCAAAUGUAAGGUUCUCUUGGGUGCUUCGCAGGCACCUCCCAGCCAGCGGGUCCCCCGAGGGGCCUUUUCUCCUUGUAACCAAGCCCGUCGCAGCCCCAAGGCCCCAACGGGCACGAGCUGGGCGGCCCUCCGACCCAGGCCUCGGGGGCGGAUCCGUCCACCUGCUGGUCCUUCUCUUCUCUGGUUCCCUGCCCGGACCCGAGCGUUUCCUUUCAGAACUCGGUCGACGCCGCGAAGCCCCUGCUGCGGAAGGCAAUCCAGAUCUCCCAGCAGACGCCGUACUGGCACUGCCGCCUGCUCUUCCAGCUGGCGCAGCUGCACACGCUGCUGGUGAGCGCGGCGCCCGCCUCCGCCCGCGCGCGCGUCUGGAAGGCUCCCGGGGCCGGGGUGCGGGCG
This 570-nucleotide long non-coding RNA is filed under the name Dasypus novemcinctus (nine-banded armadillo). RNAcentral's name for it is "lncRNA (ENSDNOG00000052887.1)". Lineage: Eukaryota; Metazoa; Chordata; Mammalia; Cingulata; Dasypodidae. The record is from RNAcentral.